Molecule: ribosomal RNA, 303 nt
Filed under: uncultured bacterium
Lineage: Bacteria
Description: partial 16S ribosomal RNA
Rfam family: Bacterial small subunit ribosomal RNA
Source: RNAcentral
AGCAGCCGCCGCGGGAAUACCGAGGGUGCGAGCGUUAAUCGGAUUUACUGGGCGUAAAGCGUGCGUAGGCGGCUUCUUAAGUCGGAUGUGAAAUCCCUGAGCUUAACUUAGGAAUUGCAUUCGAUACUGGGAAGCUAGAGUAUGGGAGAGGAUGGUAGAAUUCCAGGUGUAGCGGUGAAAUGCGUAGAGAUCUGGAGGAAUACCGAUGGCGAAGGCAGCCAUCUGGCCUAAUACUGACGCUGAGGUACGAAAGCAUGGGGAGCAAACAGGAUUAGAUACCCGCGUAGUCCCUGUCUCUUAUAA